CCUACGGGUGGCUGCAGUGGGGAAUAUUGCACAAUGGGCGCAAGCCUGAUGCAGCCAUGCCGCGUGUGUGAAGAAGGCCUUCGGGUUGUAAAGCACUUUCAGCGGGGAGGAAGGCGUUAAGGUUAAUAACCUUGUCGAUUGACGUUACCUGCAGAAGAAGCACCGGCUAACUCCGUGCCAGCAGCCGCGGUAAUACGGAGGGUGCAAGCGUUAAUCGGAAUUACUGGGCGUAAAGCGCACGCAGGCGGUCUGUCAAGUCGGAUGUGAAAUCCCCGGGCUCAACCUGGGAACUGCAUUCGAAACUGGCAGGCUAGAGUCUUGUAGAGGGGGGUAGAAUUCCAGGUGUAGCGGUGAAAUGCGUAGAGAUCUGGAGGAAUACCGGUGGCGAAGGCGGCCCCCUGGACAAAGACUGACGCUCAGGUGCGAAAGCGUGGGGAGCAAACAGGAUUAGAUACCCUAGUAGUC
Molecule: ribosomal RNA, 465 nt
Filed under: uncultured Klebsiella sp.
Lineage: Bacteria; Pseudomonadati; Pseudomonadota; Gammaproteobacteria; Enterobacterales; Enterobacteriaceae
Description: bacterial SSU rRNA
Rfam family: Bacterial small subunit ribosomal RNA
Source: RNAcentral